AAUGAAGGCUCGAUAAUCAGCUCACGACAUAUAGGUGUGUCGUGUGUGUACAGAGUUAUAAAGGUUGGUAUAAAAUCCUUGUUAAAUCGGAGAAUUAAUUCGGGUUACGCCAGAGGUGGCGAUAUAUGCUCCAAGUGGAAGCGAUUCGCCAUUAAAUAAAAGAAGAAGAAGAAGAAUUACGCCAUCUGGUGUCACAAACAAACGUGUGCCUGCAUUAGCUUUGUUACGGCAAUGGAUUGUGGGAGAUUCUCAUAACAUGUGAGGAUCUCUCGAGGGUAUUUGUGCAGGCCCUGAGUGGUUGAGAGCAGUGUCUGGAACAGGACAAGCAUGUAGAUGGUACUGCAUUUGCAAAACUUGCUUUCCAGCCCCUUUGCCAGAGGGGCUGAAAGGCUCCCUAAAGUCUUGAUCAAAGCAGGGAGGUUUUUGACAUGCCCAGCGAACAAGUUAUUUGUCCCCUACCUCUAGCUGUUUCUGAAAUGUUUGCAAUCUCUAAUGGUGGAGAAGAAAGAGUAGAGACACUCCAGGAGAUCAACGCAGGAAAGUAAUCACCAACUGUGAGUGAUCUGUUGCCGAGGGGACACUACACCGGAGUUACAUAAGCAGAGGUAAAGUACUAUUUUUGGGGGGAACUCCCCCAGGAAGAUUUUUUUUAAAUAUUGAAGUUAAAA
Trematomus bernacchii (emerald rockcod) is the source of this 668-nucleotide long non-coding RNA. RefSeq lists it as uncharacterized. NCBI's taxonomy places the organism in Eukaryota, Metazoa, Chordata, Actinopteri, Perciformes, Nototheniidae. The record is from RefSeq and is a predicted model, not a curated record. The transcript has 3 exons.